GACGAACGCUGGCGGCGUGCUUAACACAUGCAAGUCGAACGGAAAGGCCCUGCUUUUGUGGGGUGCUCGAGUGGCGAACGGGUGAGUAACACGUGAGUAACUUGCCCUUGACUUUGUGAUAACUUCAGGAAACUGGGUCUAUUACCGGAUAGGAGCUCCUGCUGCAUGGUGGGGGUUGGAAAGUUUCGGCGGUUGGGGAUGGACUCGCGGCUUAUCAGCUUGUUGGUGGGGUAGUGGCUUACCAAGGCUUUGACGGGUAGCCGGCCUGAGAGGGUGACCGGCCACAUUGGGACUGAGAUACGGCCCGGACUCCUACGGAAGGCAGCAGUGGGGAAUAUUGCCCGAUGGGCGGAAGCCUGAUGCAGCAACGCCGCGUGCGGGAUGACGGCCUUCGGGUUUAAAGCCGCUAUCGCCUGUGACGAAGCGUGAGUGAAGGUAAUGGGUAAAGAAGCACCGGCUAACUACGUG
Molecule: ribosomal RNA, 468 nt
Filed under: uncultured bacterium
Lineage: Bacteria
Description: partial 16S ribosomal RNA
Rfam family: Bacterial small subunit ribosomal RNA
Source: RNAcentral